This 527-nucleotide ribosomal RNA is filed under the name uncultured bacterium. Its description in RNAcentral is "bacterial SSU rRNA". It matches the Rfam family "Bacterial small subunit ribosomal RNA", at positions 17 to 518 of the family's 1533-position model. The record is from RNAcentral.
UCCUGGCUAGGACGAACGCUGGCGGCGUGCCUAAUACAUGCAAGUCGAACGGUCUUUCUAUGGAAGCUUGCUUCCACUGAGAAGAUAGUGGCGAACGGGUGAGGUAACACGUGGGUAACCUGCCCAUAAGAGGGGGAUAACAUCCGGAAACGGGUGCUAAUACCGCAUAGUUUUCUUGAUCGCAUGAUCGGGAAGGAAAGACGGCCUUUGUGCUGUCGCUUAUGGAUGGACCCGCGGCGUAUUAGUUAGUUGGUGAGGUAACGGCUCACCAAGACGAUGAUACGUAGCCGACCUGAGAGGGUGAUCGGCCACAUUGGGACUGAGACACGGCCCAAACUCCUACGGGAGGCAGCAGUAGGGAAUCUUCCGCAAUGGACGAAAGUCUGACGGAGCAACGCCGCGUGAGUGAAGAAAGGUUUUCGGAUCGUAAAACUCUGUUGUCAGAGAAGAACAAGUUGGAGAGUAACUGCUCCAGCCUUGACGGUAUCUGACCAGAAAGCCACGGCUAACUACGUGCCAGCCGCUGC